GCCUAUGAUCUUACCACCCCAAGAACACCCAAUCUUGCAAUCUUGUCUGAUCUCAGAAACUAAUCAUGCUUGGGCCUGGUUAGUACUUGGAUGGAAAACUGCCUGGGAACACCAGGUGCUUUAGGCU
Cyanistes caeruleus (blue tit) is the source of this 127-nucleotide ribosomal RNA. NCBI's taxonomy places the organism in Eukaryota, Metazoa, Chordata, Aves, Passeriformes, Paridae. The record is from Ensembl.